This 73-nucleotide transfer RNA is filed under the name Stegodyphus mimosarum. It matches the Rfam family "tRNA". From Rfam's summary of the family: Transfer RNA (tRNA) molecules are approximately 80 nucleotides in length. Their secondary structure includes four short double-helical elements and three loops (D, anti-codon, and T loops). Lineage: Eukaryota; Metazoa; Arthropoda; Arachnida; Araneae; Eresidae. The record is from Rfam by way of RNAcentral.
GUUUCCGUAGUGUAGUGGUCAGCAUGCUGGACGCGUGUUCCAGAUGUCCAUGGUUCGAGUCCCGGCGAAGGCG